CCUACGGGCGGCAGCAGUGGGGAAUAUUGCACAAUGGGCGCAAGCCUGAUGCAGCCAUGCCGCGUGUGUGAAGAAGGCCUUCGGGUUGUAAAGCACUUUCAGCGGGGAGGAAGGCGGUGAGGUUAAUAACCUCAUCGAUUGACGUUACGCGCAGAAGAAGCACCGGCUAACUCCGUGCCAGCAGCCGCGGUAAUACGGAGGGUGCAAGCGUUAAUCGGAAUUACUGGGCGUAAAGCGCACGCAGGCGGUCUGUCAAGUCGGAUGUGAAAUCCCCGGGCUCAACCUGGGAACUGCAUUCGAAACUGGCAGGCUAGAGUCUUGUAGAGGGGGGUAGAAUUCCAGGUGUAGCGGUGAAAUGCGUAGAGAUCUGGAGGAAUACCGGUGGCGAAGGCGGCCCCCUGGACAAAGACUGACGCUCAGGUGCGAAAGCGUGGGGAGCAAACAGGAUUAGAUACCCUAGUAGUC
Molecule: ribosomal RNA, 465 nt
Filed under: uncultured Klebsiella sp.
Lineage: Bacteria; Pseudomonadati; Pseudomonadota; Gammaproteobacteria; Enterobacterales; Enterobacteriaceae
Description: bacterial SSU rRNA
Rfam family: Bacterial small subunit ribosomal RNA
Source: RNAcentral